This is an RNA transcript of Mytilus trossulus (common blue mussel), 1211 nucleotides long. RefSeq lists it as uncharacterized. NCBI's taxonomy places the organism in Eukaryota, Metazoa, Mollusca, Bivalvia, Mytilida, Mytilidae. The record is from RefSeq and is a predicted model, not a curated record. The transcript has 6 exons.
ACCUUAUCAAUUUAUUUUUAUUAAAUUUUGUACCAUAUCAUAAAGUUAUAACUAAUAGUGUAAAAAAUAAAAUUUUAUUUUUUCUCCUAACCAAGAACAGUCGUUACAUUUCUUAGCGAAACAUGAUCGGUUUUAUUGAAUAUUUCAGAUGAGAUCAUAGUUUAAUAAUUCAAACCCAAUUUCAUAGAAAUUUCGUGAUGACGACCCCUUGAUUAUCUUUAAAGUUAACCUGGUCAUACUUUAAUUAAUUUUCUUUUUUUUUGGGGUUUACAGUUAGAUGGAAGGAUAGAUCGUGAUCUUGAAGGGAAUUUGGUAAUACCCUAAGAUGAUGUUGUGAAGCUGUUACCUCAUCAUAUAGCCGAAUGUUUAUUCAGAAGGUAUAAAGACUGUAUACCACUUUCCAUAGGGGAAUGAACAGCUUACCAGUUCACAGCAAAUGAAAGUUGCAUUUAUAAUGCAGUGUCCAUUAUCCUCUAUAGAAAUGAAGAUACGGCUGUGGUACUGAAGCUGGCUGAAGUGUUGAAAUGGUGGAUAAUAUGGUAUCAUUUCCAAAAUAUAUUGUAGAAGAAUUCAAAGAGAAAACUGACCUGUGGGUUAAAUCUACCCUGCAGCAGGUGAUUGCAGCCUCAACAGCAGAGGAAGUAGAGUAUGGAUGCAGAAAAGAGCUGGUCUCGACUAUUCAAUAUCCAUACAGGGACCCGAACUGUUUCCCAUUGUUGUUUCCCAUUGUUUUCAUGUCCAAUACAACAGCACUGCAAAAAAUACCAGCAGUACAGCAGCUGAUUGUGCCACCAUUAACAUUCUCAGCUAGACUAUCAUCUUUACACUUGGUUUUGAUGCCUACCAAGCCAAGACAUAUGUAAGAUAUAAAAGGUGUAGGCCUCACUUCAUCCUGCAAUCAGCUAACUAUUGUACAAAUAACAGCAUUGAAUACUACACAAAUUUGCAGGUUAAAGACCUGGAUAUGGAUUUCGAUGUUUAUAUACAAGUUCUAUGUUAAAAAGAAGAAGUAAACAAGCUCAUGGCUGAACUGGUUCUCACGAGACAUAAACCAGCUGACCACUGUCAAUCAUCUCAUGUUGACAACUUUAUAUCAUUCCAUGUUGAUCACUGCAUAUCAUUGUGACAUCCAUUUUCAUUUUUUUCUUCUUCAAAAAACGUUUAUCUGUAGAUAUUUGUUGCAAAACCUGUUGACUAAAUCUAUAUUUAAA